Molecule: ribosomal RNA, 1478 nt
Filed under: Lactiplantibacillus plantarum
Lineage: Bacteria; Bacillati; Bacillota; Bacilli; Lactobacillales; Lactobacillaceae
Description: Lactobacillus plantarum 16S ribosomal RNA
Rfam family: Bacterial small subunit ribosomal RNA
Source: RNAcentral
UGGCGGCGUGCCUAAUACAUGCAAGUCGAACGAACUCUGGUAUUGAUUGGUGCUUGCAUCAUGAUUUACAUUUGAGUGAGUGGCGAACUGGUGAGUAACACGUGGGAAACCUGCCCAGAAGCGGGGGAUAACACCUGGAAACAGAUGCUAAUACCGCAUAACAACUUGGACCGCAUGGUCCGAGUUUGAAAGAUGGCUUCGGCUAUCACUUUUGGAUGGUCCCGCGGCGUAUUAGCUAGAUGGUGGGGUAACGGCUCACCAUGGCAAUGAUACGUAGCCGACCUGAGAGGGUAAUCGGCCACAUUGGGACUGAGACACGGCCCAAACUCCUACGGGAGGCAGCAGUAGGGAAUCUUCCACAAUGGACGAAAGUCUGAUGGAGCAACGCCGCGUGAGUGAAGAAGGGUUUCGGCUCGUAAAACUCUGUUGUUAAAGAAGAACAUAUCUGAGAGUAACUGUUCAGGUAUUGACGGUAUUUAACCAGAAAGCCACGGCUAACUACGUGCCAGCAGCCGCGGUAAUACGUAGGUGGCAAGCGUUGUCCGGAUUUAUUGGGCGUAAAGCGAGCGCAGGCGGUUUUUUAAGUCUGAUGUGAAAGCCUUCGGCUCAACCGAAGAAGUGCAUCGGAAACUGGGAAACUUGAGUGCAGAAGAGGACAGUGGAACUCCAUGUGUAGCGGUGAAAUGCGUAGAUAUAUGGAAGAACACCAGUGGCGAAGGCGGCUGUCUGGUCUGUAACUGACGCUGAGGCUCGAAAGUAUGGGUAGCAAACAGGAUUAGAUACCCUGGUAGUCCAUACCGUAAACGAUGAAUGCUAAGUGUUGGAGGGUUUCCGCCCUUCAGUGCUGCAGCUAACGCAUUAAGCAUUCCGCCUGGGGAGUACGGCCGCAAGGCUGAAACUCAAAGGAAUUGACGGGGGCCCGCACAAGCGGUGGAGCAUGUGGUUUAAUUCGAAGCUACGCGAAGAACCUUACCAGGUCUUGACAUACUAUGCAAAUCUAAGAGAUUAGACGUUCCCUUCGGGGACAUGGAUACAGGUGGUGCAUGGUUGUCGUCAGCUCGUGUCGUGAGAUGUUGGGUUAAGUCCCGCAACGAGCGCAACCCUUAUUAUCAGUUGCCAGCAUUAAGUUGGGCACUCUGGUGAGACUGCCGGUGACAAACCGGAGGAAGGUGGGGAUGACGUCAAAUCAUCAUGCCCCUUAUGACCUGGGCUACACACGUGCUACAAUGGAUGGUACAACGAGUUGCGAACUCGCGAGAGUAAGCUAAUCUCUUAAAGCCAUUCUCAGUUCGGAUUGUAGGCUGCAACUCGCCUACAUGAAGUCGGAAUCGCUAGUAAUCGCGGAUCAGCAUGCCGCGGUGAAUACGUUCCCGGGCCUUGUACACACCGCCCGUCACACCAUGAGAGUUUGUAACACCCAAAGUCGGUGGGGUAACCUUUUAGGAACCAGCCGCCUAAGGUGGGACAGAUGAUUAGGG